GCGACCCCAGGUCAGGCGGGACUACCCGCUGAAUUUAAGCAUAUAAAUAAGCGGAGGAGAAGAAACUUACAAGGAUUCCCCUAGUAACGGCGAGCGAACCGGG
This 103-nucleotide ribosomal RNA is filed under the name Poa molinerii. RNAcentral describes it as "partial 26S ribosomal RNA". It matches the Rfam family "Eukaryotic large subunit ribosomal RNA", at positions 1 to 102 of the family's 3401-position model. The record is from RNAcentral. Lineage: Eukaryota; Viridiplantae; Streptophyta; Magnoliopsida; Poales; Poaceae.